This 276-nucleotide unclassified non-coding RNA is filed under the name plant metagenome. RNAcentral's name for it is "partial contains small subunit ribosomal RNA, internal transcribed spacer 1, and 5.8S ribosomal RNA". The record is from RNAcentral.
UUUCCGUAGGUGAACCUGCGGAAGGAUCAUAAACACGAAUUAUUUAUUAUCCAAUAUCAAAAACCAAACGUGAACCUUUUCCCUCCCUAUAUAUAUAUAUAUAGGCUAACCUCAUUUAAUUAAUUUUUAACACUUUAAACCUUAACUAGUUUUAAUGUAGCCAUUAAAACAUCUAAACUAAAAAAGACAAGGUUAUUCGAAAGAGUAAACUUUAACUUUUUUCGAUUUACGAAAAAUUUAAAAGAACAACUCUUAACAAUGGAUAUCUUGGUUCUC